RNAcentral lists this ribosomal RNA (663 nucleotides) under Triticum aestivum (bread wheat). RNAcentral describes it as "partial small subunit ribosomal RNA". The record is from RNAcentral. Lineage: Eukaryota; Viridiplantae; Streptophyta; Magnoliopsida; Poales; Poaceae.
AUGCUAUCAGUAAUAGAUGGAGAAUAUCCAUUCCCUUCCCUGCCUAGCAUGCAAUACCUAUACCUUGCGUCUUGCAACCUUACCAAAAUACCAAGUAUGUUGAGGCAUCAAUAUGAGAUGGAGGAUGUUGACCUUUCAAGCAAUAGUAUAGAUGGAGUUAUACCAUGUUGGUUGUGGGAGAAUGGGAAGAAUAGCAUCCGGUUCAACCUUUCACACAACAUGUUCACUACCCUGGAGAAGUGUACACCACUUAAUCCUAUCAUAAGGAGUUUGGGUUUUCUUGAUCUUAGUUCCAACAGACUUGAAGGGAAUUUACGGAUACCACUCAUAUCCAGAAUAUUCGGUGGAGUUUUGUUAGUUUACUCCAACAAUAGCUUCUCUUCAAUUACACCGGCCGUGGAUAUACCUAUCAACGGCUCCAUCAAGCUUGAUUUGUCCAAGAAUAAACUAAAUGGUCAUAUACCAACUUCAAUUUGUGGUGCAAACCAUGAAAUGCUUGAGUUGUCAUAUAACAACCUUACUGGCCCGGUUCCAUCCUGCUUGAUUCAACAUGGCUGUGAAAAUGUUAAAGUUGAGAAACAACCAAUUAGAUGGGAUGCUGCCUGGAAAUAUUGGAGAAGGCUGUAUGCUUCAGACAAUAGAUUUGAACAGCAACCGAAUUGA